UUAAGUGAGUGGAAGACGAUUGUGUCUCUCCAUUUUGGAAGAACAUUGAGGUAUAACAAAAUCAACGGCCGAGAUAUCGUUUCAGUCGUUAUUUCUGUUGAUUGACGAUUCGAUUGUUGCUCGUCCACAU
Non-coding RNA from Citrus sinensis (sweet orange), 130 nucleotides. The record is from Rfam. Lineage: Eukaryota; Viridiplantae; Streptophyta; Magnoliopsida; Sapindales; Rutaceae.